Molecule: transfer RNA, 39 nt
Filed under: Pogona minor
Lineage: Eukaryota; Metazoa; Chordata; Lepidosauria; Squamata; Agamidae
Description: partial tRNA-Leu
Source: RNAcentral
CAGAGUUGGACACAAUGCAAGGGGCUUAAAACCCCUAAU